GAGCUGGGGGUGGCCGCAGAGACCAGCGAGAAGCGACUGUUUACUAAAAACACAGGUCCGUGCGAAGCCGUAAGGCGAUGUAUACGGACUGACGCCUGCCCGGUGCUGGAACGUUAAGGGGACCGGUUAGCUCCAUUUCGGUGGGGCGAAGCUGAGAACUUAAGCGCCAGUAAACGGCGGUGGUAACUAUAACCAUCCUAAGGUAGCGAAAUUCCUUGUCGGGUAAGUUCCGACCUGCACGAAUGGCGUAACGACUUCUCGACUGUCUCAACCAUAGGCCCGGUGAAAUUGCACUACGAGUAAAGAUGCUCGUUUCGCGCAGCAGGACGGAAAGACCCCGGGACCUUUACUACAGUUUGAUAUUGGUGUUCGGUUCGGCUUGUGUAGGAUAGCUGGGAGACUUUGAAGCUCGCACGCCAGUGUGGGUGGAGUCGUCGUUGAAAUACCAGUCUGGUCGUGCUGGAUGUCUAACCUGGGUCCGUGAUCCGGAUCAGGGACAGUGUCUGAUGGGUAGUUUAACUGGGGCGGUUGCCUCCUAAAGAGUAACGGAGGCGCCCAAAGGUUCCCUCAGCCUGGUUGGCAAUCAGGUGUUGAGUGUAAGUGCACAAGGGAGCUUGACUGUGAGACCGACGGGUCGAGCAGGGACGAAAGUCGGGACUAGUGAUCCGGCGGUGGCUUGUGGAAGCGCCGUCGCUCAACGGAUAAAAGGUACCCCGGGGAUAACAGGCUGAUCUUCCCCAAGAGUCCAUAUCGACGGGAUGGUUUGGCACCUCGAUGUCGGCUCGUCGCAUCCUGGGGCUGGAGUCGGUCCCAAGGGUUGGGCUGUUCGCCCAUUAAAGCGGUACGCGAGCUGGGUUUAGAACGUCGUGAGACAGUUCGGUCCCUAUCCGCUGUGCGCGUAGGAGUCUUGAGAAGGGCUGUCCCUAGUACGAGAGGACCGGGACGGACGAACCUCUGGUGUGCCAGUUGUCCUGCCAAGGGCAUGGCUGGUUGGCUACGUUCGGGAGGGAUAACCGCUGAAAGCAUCUAAGCGGGAAGCCUGCUUCGAGAUGAGGACUCCCACCCCCUUGAGGGGUUAAGGCUCCCAGUAGACGACUGGGUUGAUAGGCCGGAUCUGGAAGCACCGUGAGGUGUGGAGGUGACCGGUACUAAUAGGCCGAGGGCUUGUCCUCAGUUG
This 1177-nucleotide ribosomal RNA is filed under the name Streptomyces sp. M1013. RNAcentral describes it as "bacterial LSU rRNA". It matches the Rfam family "Bacterial large subunit ribosomal RNA", at positions 1764 to 2925 of the family's 2925-position model. The record is from RNAcentral. Lineage: Bacteria; Bacillati; Actinomycetota; Actinomycetes; Kitasatosporales; Streptomycetaceae.